UGCUGUGCCCCGUGAACAGGUCCUCCUUCUCUGGCGUCUGAUCCCCGCGUCCUGCCUGGGCUGCAGAUGUCAUUUAGGAAGUAGCACGGCAGGGACCCACCUGUGGCUGUGGUUUCAGCACAGAGCAGCACUUCAUCCCUUUUCAGGGCUGAAUAAUAUCCCAUCGAGUGGAUACAGCACCUUUUGUUUCCCCAGUCAUCUGUUGAUGGACAGGUUAUUUCUGGAGCUUCCCCUGAGGAUUCGGUGCUAUCCCUCCGCGGCACCUGACCUCUGGCCCGAGGUGGCCUGAUCCGGGGCUAAGCCCCUCCUGGCAGGUGAGCCUCUCACUUCGGCCUCUUUCCAACCCCACAGCCCGGGCCACUCAGACUUUGGCUUUAUGUGAAGAGAGACAGAGCCAUGGUCCCUCCCUGCAACCCCUGGGCGUGAGUCCCGCGUGGGCCUCGUGUGACCUUGGGCCAGGUCCUCCCUCGCUAGGCCUCUGAAAGGGGGAGGUGAAGGGCUCACCGGCCUGUGGUCUGCACACCAGUGGACCCGUGUCCCAGGAGGGAAAGGAAUCCAGCAGCUCUUUGAGCCAUUGAGGCCGUGGUGACAGCUCUGAGAUCCCUGACAGCUGCGCAGUAACAUCCUUGGCUAAGUGUUAACUUCGUCCCACAGGUAGGCCCAGGGCUAAGAAAUGUACUGUGACAGGAGAAUGUGUUUAGGAAAUGUGCAAACCAAAUGACCAGGAAGAGCUGCGCUUUUCAUAUCGCUUCAUACAGCCAGUGUACCUCGCAGCAGCCCCAGGCAACGCAGCCCACGCGGCCCUCGGCUUGCUUGUGUCCACUUGCCACGCACUUCCUGGGCCGAGGCCCUGGGGUGGGCCAGGGAAGAGCAGGGGACAGUCAGAGCGGAUGGCGCCCCUGUCCCUUCCUGAUCUGCCCUCCGUCCUCUGGAAGCUAAAGAAGGAUGGAGCUUUGUUCAUCACCAGGCCCCCUGCAUUCCGCAGCCUGGCACCUAUCACGGGGUAGGAGCUCAAUACAUGUUGGUUCAAGUGUGGUUCUUAAGAAAUGAAAGGACCAGAGCCCUGGAAGUGCCCUCUCCAUCAGACAGCAAGUGUUUGGAAUUCCUCCAGCAGCCCCUCCUUGGGGUUGAAAUUUCCUGUUAAUACAGACAAGUUUCUAUCAGCACCGCAGGCCAAAAGCUCUUCCCAGCGAUCCAGGAAGGGGGGAAACUGGGGUACAUGUUAGGCCAGGGCCAGGGGGCCCUUCCUCCCAGGGCACAAGGACACUAGCCAGAGAGGCCAGCCAAGGGCAGGGGGAAGGUCAUUUCCUGUAAGUGCCUGUCACCUUCAGGAAGGACAGGCUUUAAGGGGUCGCACUCAGCCAGGAAAGAAGUCAUCAUAGGAGAUCCCCUCGCGGCUCGGUGGAAAUGAGUCUGAUUAGCAUCCAUGAGGAGGCAGGUUGGAUCUCUGGCCUCGCUCAGUGGGUUAGGAUCU
This is a non-coding RNA of Sus scrofa (pig), 1474 nucleotides long. The record is from RefSeq and is a predicted model, not a curated record. NCBI's taxonomy places the organism in Eukaryota, Metazoa, Chordata, Mammalia, Artiodactyla, Suidae.